UACGUAGGGUGCAAGCGUUAAUCGGAAUUACUGGGCGUAAAGCGUGCGCAGGCGGUUCCAUAAGACAGAUGUGAAAUCCCCGGGCUCAACCUGGGAACUGCAUUUGUGACUGUGGGGCUAGAGUACGGUAGAGGGGGAUGGAAUUCCGCGUGUAGCAGUGAAAUGCGUAGAUAUGCGGAGGAACACCAAUGGCGAAGGCAAUCCCCUGGACCUGUACUGACGCUGAGGUGCGAAAGCGUGGGGAGCAAACAGG
This 253-nucleotide ribosomal RNA is filed under the name uncultured bacterium. Its description in RNAcentral is "partial 16S ribosomal RNA". It matches the Rfam family "Bacterial small subunit ribosomal RNA", at positions 524 to 776 of the family's 1533-position model. The record is from RNAcentral.